UACGGGGGGGGCAAGCGUUGUUCGGAAUUACUGGGCGUAAAGGGCUCGUAGGCGGCCAACUAAGUCGGAUGUGAAAUCCCCAGGCUUAACCUGGGAACUGCAUCCGAUACUGGAUGGCUUGAAUCCGGGAGAGGGAUGCAGAAUUCCAGGUGUAGCGGUGAAAUGCGUAGAUAUCUGGAGGAAUACCGGCGGCGAAGGCGGCAUCCUGGACCGGCAUUGACGCUGAUGAGCGAAAGCUAGGGGAGCAAACGGG
Molecule: ribosomal RNA, 253 nt
Filed under: uncultured bacterium
Lineage: Bacteria
Description: partial 16S ribosomal RNA
Rfam family: Bacterial small subunit ribosomal RNA
Source: RNAcentral